ACGGGAGGCAGCAGUGAGGAAUAUUGGUCAAUGGACGGAAGUCUGAACCAGCCAUGCCGCGUGAGGGAAGAAUGCCCUAUGGGUUGUAAACCUCUUUUGUUUUGGGAUAAUAAGCCCCAUGCGUGGGGUGAUGAAGGUACAAGACGAAUAAGCAUCGGCUAACUCCGUGCCAGCAGCCGCGGUAAUACGGAGGAUGCAAGCGUUAUCCGGAUUUAUUGGGUUUAAAGGGUGCGUAGGCGGAAGAGUAAGUCAGUGGUGAAAUACCCUCGCUCAACGAGGGGGCUGCCAUUGAUACUGCUUUUCUAGAGUGCGAACGGCGCCGGCGGAAUGUGUCAUGUAGCGGUGAAAUGCUUAGAGAUGACACAGAACACCGAUCGCGAAGGCAGCUGGCGAGCACGACACUGACGCUGAGGCACGAAGGUGCGGGGAUCAAACAGGAUUAGAUACCCUGGUA
RNAcentral lists this ribosomal RNA (454 nucleotides) under uncultured bacterium. RNAcentral describes it as "partial 16S ribosomal RNA". It matches the Rfam family "Bacterial small subunit ribosomal RNA", at positions 341 to 792 of the family's 1533-position model. The record is from RNAcentral.